AUUGAACGCUGGCGGCAGGCCUAACACAUGCAAGUCGAGCGAGCGGCGGACGGGUGAGUAAUGUCUGGGAAACUGCCUGAUGGAGGGGGAUAACUACUGGAAACGGUAGCUAAUACCGCAUACCAUCAGAUGUGCCCAGAUGGGAUUAGCUGGUAGGUGGGGUAACGGCUCACCUAGGCGACGAUCCCUAGCUGGCCUGAGAGGGUGACCCGCCACAUUGGAACUGAGACACGGUCCAGACUCCUACGGGAGGCAGCAGUGGGGAAUAUUGGACAAUGGGCGCGAGCCUGACGCAGCCAUGCCGCGUGUGUGAAGAAGGCCUUCGGGUUGUAAAGCACUGUCAGCGGGGAGGCGUUACCCACAGAGGAAGCACCGGCUAACUACGUGCCAGCAGCCGCGGUAAUAC
RNAcentral lists this ribosomal RNA (406 nucleotides) under uncultured bacterium. RNAcentral's name for it is "partial 16S ribosomal RNA". It matches the Rfam family "Bacterial small subunit ribosomal RNA", at positions 29 to 526 of the family's 1533-position model. The record is from RNAcentral.